This is a long non-coding RNA of Myxocyprinus asiaticus (Chinese sucker), 2175 nucleotides long. RefSeq lists it as uncharacterized. The record is from RefSeq and is a predicted model, not a curated record. The transcript has 2 exons. Lineage: Eukaryota; Metazoa; Chordata; Actinopteri; Cypriniformes; Catostomidae.
GUUUGUAGCUUGCUAGCCUGCUUAGCAUUGCUUAUUCUUAUGUGUUCAUAGUUUUAUCCUUUGCCAUUUUACCAUGUGCUUUUUUUUGUUCCGCUUUUCUACUGUUUCUGUGCUUUUCUUUUUUUCCGCUUGUCUACUUCUCACACUUCGACUGUGUGCAUUAGUUUUCUCCUCUGUGUUUUACACAGAUUAUUGCAUCAAUCUCAAUCAUCUGCUGAUCAGGAACCACAUCACACCAUCUCAAACCCUCGCCUUAUAACAACCAUAACAACAACAACAUCAAUUGUGAUUCAUAUCCCGAGGUUACCAGAACCGGCCAGAUCCAGCUCCGUUCCUGCUUUGUGUCAGAAUCCACUGCUACGUGUCGCUGAGUGAUUACGACAAACUACAGCCAGUGCUAGCCAGACAUCACUUCAGUCUUUUACAUUGGACUUCAGAGGAUGAACUGAUGCCAACUCCAACUGUAAGACAUCGAAUACUUCAUCUGCCACAGCCUGAACCUUGGAUUUAGGAUGGACCUCACCGAAAUGACCUGCUGUUUGAACUGCGAUGAACCUCACUGAUCUCUGCCUGCAUCACCUUUGUUUAUUGAUGGACUACACUUUUGAAGUGGAAUACAUAGACUAUCAAUUAAUUGUCAACAAAAGCCUUCAUCAGACAACUUACAAAGGACAAUGCAUCUAUGUGAACUUCUGCAGUUAAUCCAGGAUGGACUUCAAAAGAUAUUAGUCAUUAAUCUCACAGUUCAUACAAAAUAUUUGUUAAAACACUGGCCCUUAACACUUACGUAGUUUACAAAUUUUAAACCAUGACUUGCACUGGACACAAAUAACUAAUGUUGCCAUUAUAUUCAUGCUGUUUAGCCAGAGGGGAACUGGCCCCCACAAUGAACCUGGUUUCUCCCAAGGUUAGUUUUCUCCAUUAACCAACAUUUUAUGGAGUUUUGUGCUCCUUGCCACAGUCGUCUUUGGCUUGCUCACUGGGGUUCUAAAUACAAUUAUUAUUUAACUAUUUAAUUAUUACACAAUUUACAAUUACACAAUGAUAACUCUAAGACUUUAUAGAUAUUAUUUGGAUAAUACAGAAAUGCGUGUUUGACUAAAGUUUAGUCGAGUUAAUCAGAUGCAAGGUAAGUUGAAGAAGUGUUAGCAGCUAUAGUACCAUGUUAGCCUAGCUAGCACAUUGUAGUUAAACUGGAUUUCUGAGGCAGCUGGGUUUGUAGUGUGAACUUGGUCUGUUUGAAUGGAGCACUUUAUUCUUAGUUCAGAACAUAAUCAAUCUAAGCAUUUUCCUGUCUCCCUCGGGGUUACAGGUCAGUCCAGCUCUAUAAGGGAGUGCUCUAACUCUUCCAGUCACCGAUCACACCAUGGAAGUGAUAGAAGACACUCCACUUCUCAUUUUCAGUUGCCAUUGGGUUCAUCUCCUGGCUGUUACUACUCAAGACAUGCUCAGAGAAUAUUUUGAAGUGUUUUUUUUAUUGUACAUACAAUAACAUGACCCUGGACGGUCUGGCGGAUGUAUCUGAUAUGUGUCAAAUGUUUUAAUGGUACUUUUUUGUCAGUUGUCUUAUUUUGAGAGUAAUUAUGAAUAUAAUAUGAUGAUAUAAUAAUAUAAUGAAUAUAAUAUAUAAUCAUGAAUUCAUGGUUGAAAUUAGAUUGAAUUCAAGUCAUUGAAACAGCCAAAUAUCAACGCUGUUGAGAUGUCAGGCAAAGUUGUCUUUUCAACAUCUAUUCAGCAAGUUUUUGCUGGGUAGUAAGCAAUUUUAUAUAAAUACAUUUGAUUGAAAAAGUUGCUAUCAAAUGCUCACCUAAACGGUGUAAACAAUGUUUAGCAAAGCAGUGUAACUAAACUAUCAGCAGAAAAGCUUAAACGCGCACUCCGGUCCGCAGAACUGAUGACGUUUGAAUGCUGUUGCACGUGCCAACAGGCACUGUUAAAUUCACCGCUGAUUGCUGAGGCUCACGUGUAUGAAUGUUAAGUUUUGCACAGAGAGUGCUCUGGUAUUUCAGAUGGCGAGACAAUUUGAUAAAAAAUCAGUUGGAGGGCCAGACAAAGAUGAUUGGUGGGCCAGAUUUGGCCCGUGGGUUGCCAGUUGACUAGCCCUGCUCUAAGUCAUCUAUUCAGUCAUCUGUCCUCCCACACAAAUACAAUAAACACACAAAUGAUGUCACAUGA